Molecule: small RNA, 535 nt
Filed under: Drosophila ananassae
Lineage: Eukaryota; Metazoa; Arthropoda; Insecta; Diptera; Drosophilidae
Description: GF27587
Source: RNAcentral
UCCUAAAAAUAUGGUCCAGCCUGGACUAAAAAGGAAACCAACAAAAAAUCUUGGAAUUCGACAAUUUCAGUGGGGUACUACAAAAUAUUUUUGUGGGCCACAGGCUAUUCAACAUCAAAUAUUUUUGUAAUCACCCGUUUGGCACUAUAUUUAAUGAACCCAAGCUAGAGCUCAUAGGCAUGAACUCUUGGAGACAACAAUUUUAAUGCCACAGGAAAAUUUUUUUAGUGACCUUAAAAAAUGCCGAACUACAAAAAUCAUUCUCCCAUUACGCAUUAGAGUCAGCGUCACUUCUUACUUAAAGCAAUACAAUUUCUGUGGCUUCCACAAAAUGGAGGCCAUAUUCAAAAACAUGCCCAAGGAACCAAGUCGGAGAUCUUGGCAUAAUUCCUUGGAUGCAUCUAUGCAUUUACCUGAGUAACCACUGCUUUAAACCUUCGAGUAACGAGAACAUCUGAGGGGCAGACACGUUCAGAGAUAUCAAAAAUUCCAGACAUCAAUCAACGCCUCGAUGUCGCUGGUUUCACCGGCAUGC